GGUUGGAUCAGUUUCACAACUCCACCAGCAAUGAAUUAAUGUCCCUACUUUGCCACAUCCCCUCCAGCAUUCAUUACUUUCCUUUGCUGUUAUGUUAGCCAAUCUGCUAGGUGUGAGGUUGCCACAUCCCCUCCAGCAUUCAUUACAUUCCUCUACUGUUAUGUUAGCCAAUCUGCUAGGUGUGAGGUGAUACCUCAGAGUUGUUUUGAUUUGCAUCUCUCUGAUUAUAAGAGAUGUGGAGCACUUCUUCAUGUGCUUGUUAAUAGUUUUGAUUUCUUUAUCUGAGAACUGCCUAUCCAUUUCCCUUGCCCAUUUAUCAAUUGGAGAAUGGCUUGAUUUUUUGUACAAUUGAUUUAGCUCAUUAUAAAUAUGAGUAAUUAAACCUUUGUCAGAGGUUUCUAUGAAGAUUUUUUCCCAAUUUGUUGUUUCCCUUCUGAUUUUAGUUAUAUUGGUUUUGUUUGUACAAAAGCUUUUUAGUUUGAUGUAGUCAAAAUUAUUUAUUUUACAUUUUGUGAUUCUUUCUAUAUCUUGCUUGGUUUUAAAGCCUUUCCCCUCCCAAAGGUCUGACAUGUAUACUAUUCUGUGUUUACCCAAUUUACUUAUGGUUUCCUUCUUUAUGUUUAAGUCACUCACCCAUUUUGAAUUUAUCUUGGUGUAGGGUGUGAGGUGUUGAUCUAUUCCUAGUCUCUCCCACACUGUCUUCCAAUUUUCCCAGCAGUUUUUAUCGAAUAGUGGAUUUUUGUCCCAAAAGCUGGGAUCUUUGGGUUUAUCGUAUACUGUCUUGACGAGGUCGUUUUCCCCCAGUCUAUUCCACUGAUCUUCCUUUCUGUUUCUUAGCCAGUACCAAAUUGUUUUGAUGACUGCUGCUUUGUAAUAUAGUUUGAGGUCUGGGACUGCAAGGCCCCCAUCAUAUGUGUUUUUUUUCAUUAUUUCCCUGGAUAUCCUUGAUCUUUUGUUCUUCCAAAUGAACUUUGUUAUGGUUUUUUCUAAAUCAGUGAAGAAGUAUUUUGGUAGUUCAAUGGGUAUGGCACUAAAUAGAUAAAUAAGUUUGGUAGAUGUCAUUUUUUAUUAUAUUGGCUCGUCCUAUCCAUGAGCAGUUAAUGUUUUUCCAAUUGUUCAAGUCUAGUUUUAGUUGUGUGGCGAGUGUUUUGUAGUUGUGUUCAUAUAGUUCCUGUGUUUGUCUUGGGAGAUAGAUUCCUAGGUAUUUUAUUUUGUCUAAGGUGAUUUUGAAUGGGAUUUCUCUUUCAAGUUCUUGCUGCUGAGCUGUGUUGGAGAUAUAUAGAAA
This 1285-nucleotide long non-coding RNA is filed under the name Monodelphis domestica (gray short-tailed opossum). Its description in RNAcentral is "lncRNA (ENSMODG00000051168.1)". The record is from RNAcentral. Lineage: Eukaryota; Metazoa; Chordata; Mammalia; Didelphimorphia; Didelphidae.